Molecule: small nucleolar RNA, 71 nt
Organism: Gadus morhua (Atlantic cod)
Lineage: Eukaryota; Metazoa; Chordata; Actinopteri; Gadiformes; Gadidae
Source: Ensembl
CCAUGAUGAAACCUAAACUUACAGCUGGAAUUACCGUCAGAUUGUUAGUGUUGAUAAUGGGUUUUCUGAGC